RNAcentral lists this long non-coding RNA (1656 nucleotides) under Brassica napus (rape). RNAcentral's name for it is "long non-coding RNA (BNAP_LNC006483)". The record is from RNAcentral. Lineage: Eukaryota; Viridiplantae; Streptophyta; Magnoliopsida; Brassicales; Brassicaceae.
AGAACCAGAAAUAUUAUGGACUAAUUCAAACUAUGUUUAACAUCAGAUCAUUUUAUAAUCCUCUAGGAUAGUUCAUUGGGGUAGUUAUGUAAUUGUACAAACCAUAUCCAACCCAAGAAAUGUUGAAGUGUCUAUAAACCUAAAGUCUGAAAUUAGUUGGAAGAGAAGACUCAAAGACUCCAAUAAAACAGACACACGCCCCAUAAGAGUGGGCCAGGGUGAGAAAUAAGGCCAAGUGUUAAGAAACAUAUGGUCAUAUUGAACCAACACACUUCACCCCUGUCUCUCUCUCUCUUUCAAAUGACGUAAAAGCAAAGCACAGACUUUGCUUCCCCCUAAGAAUUACCAAUCCAAGAAACGCUAAUGAUUCCUCCCAUCCAUCCAUUAAACAAUUCAUCUCCCUAAACCCCAUAUCUCCUUGAUUCUAGUCUUGCGUGUACAUAUACUAUUACAUGGUAAGGAGAAGGGGAGAAGAAGAAGAAGAGAGCAAACCUGGGAAAGUCAGGGGAGAAUCUGCUGGAGGGUUGGUUGGAUUGCAUCCAUGACAUCUCUGCAGCUCUGGCUUUCUCUAGGAUGACUGAUUCAGCUUACAGAGUAGACACCAUCUCCAGGCUCGCCCAAUGGCGUAUCCUCAACCUCUCUUCCUCCACUUACCGCAAGUCCGAUCCUUUCAAGAUGGGUCUUUGGAACUGGUACCUCUCUCUUCUCUCUCUCCUUCCCUUUUUGUUCACCUGACCAAUUAAUGAUCCGACAUGAUGAUGAUGAUGAAUGAAAAAAAAGUGGACACACCUUUUUUAGUAGUUGAUGUGUUUGGUAAUAAGAAUGGUUUUGACACUAUAUAUGGUGGGUUAUUGAUAUGAAGGCAUUUGUCUGUGGAGAAAAGCAAGAUGCUAUUAAAUGUUAAGUUGUAUCCAGAAGUAUCCAGCCUUUCCAGGGAAAACCCACCUGUUGCUUCCUUUGUUCUUCGUGUUGUCUCUUCUACUGGUGAGAGGAAGGCUUUUACUCAUCCAGGUAAAGACAAGAUCUUGCUUUGUUCCUGUUCCACAACAAAAGAUGAAUUUAAAAACAUUGUUUCUUUAAUGCUGCAGAAGUAAUAGAUAAGAGGAUUAAGACAAACGAAGAUUUCCUCUGGACAAUUGAAGUUCCCUUGACUGGAAAAAUCAUCAUCGACGUCGAGCUUCUUGACCUCAAGGUUCUGUCUCAAGAUGUAAGUGUUAGAAAAUAGACAGAACCUUUGUUCUUUUUUAAUAUUUAGUUGAUAUUUACCUGGAUUGGCAGAGUGGAGAGUUUUACUCAAUCUGGGCAGACGGUUCAACGCAGAACCAAUCCGAAGUUACAGCGGUAACAUCCCUUGGACGUAUGUUGACAGAAAGCAUUUACACCGACAUAACCAUCAACGCCUCUGAUGGAAGCAUCGGAGCGCACCGAGCUGUUCUCGCUGCCCGUUCGCCUGUUUUCCGCAGCAUGUUUCUACACGACCUGAAAGAGAAAGAACUAUCAGCGAUAAACAUACCGGACAUGCCGCUCGAAGCUUGCCGAGCGUUCCUAAGUUAUAUCUACGGGAAUAUCCAGAACGAAGACUUUCUAACGCAUAGACUGGCGCUUCUACAAGCGGCUGAUAAAUAUGAUAUCGCUGAUCUGAAAGACGCGUGCCAC